AUUGAACGCUGGCGGCAUGCCUUACACAUGCAAGUCGAACGGCAGCGGGGGAGAAGCUUGCUUUUCCUGCCGGCGAGUGGCGAACGGGUGAGUAAUACAUCGGAACGUGCCCUGUAGUGGGGGAUAACUAGUCGAAAGAUUAGCUAAUACCGCAUACGACCUGAGGGUGAAAGGGGGGGACCGCAAGGCCUCAUGCUAUAGUAGCGGCCGAUGUCUGAUUAGCUAGUUGGUGGGGUAAAGGCCUACCAGGGCGAAGAUCAGUAGCUGGUCUGAGAGGACGAUCAGCCACACUGGGACUGAGACACGGCCCAGACUCCUACGGGAGGCAGCAGUGGGGAAUUUUGGACAAUGGGCGAAAGCCUGAUCCAGCAAUGCCGCGUGUGUGAAGAAGGCCUUCGGGUUGUAAAGCACUUUUGUCCGGAAAGAAAUGGCUCUGGUUAAUACCUGGGGUCGAUGACGGUACCGGAAGAAUAAGGACCGGCUAACUACGUGCCAGCAGCCGCGGUAA
This 508-nucleotide ribosomal RNA is filed under the name uncultured bacterium. RNAcentral's name for it is "partial 16S ribosomal RNA". It matches the Rfam family "Bacterial small subunit ribosomal RNA", at positions 30 to 523 of the family's 1533-position model. The record is from RNAcentral.